GGCGAAUGGGUGAGUAUCGCGUAUGCAACCUACCUUUAACCGGGGAAUAGCUCCGAGAAAUCGGAAUUAAUACCCCAUAAUAUCUUAAUAACACAUGUUAUAGAGAUUAAAGCUUCGGCGGUUAAUGAUGGGCAUGCGUGACAUUAGCUUGUUGGUGAGGUAACGGCUCACCAAAGCAACGAUGUCUAGGGGGUCUUAAAGGAUGAUCCCCCACACUGGUACUGAGACACGGACCAGACUCCUACGGGAGGCAGCAGUGGGGAACAUUGGGCAAUGGGUGAAAGUCUGACCCAGCCAUGCCGCGUGCAGGAAGAAUGCCUUAUGGGUUGUAAACUGCUUUUGUAUAGGAAGAAACCCCCGAUCGUGAUCGGGGCUGACGGUACUAUACGAAUAAGGAUCGGCUAACUCCGUGCCAGCAGCCGCGGUAAUACGGAGGAUCCAAGUGUUAUCCGGAUUUAUUAGGUUUAAAGGGUGCGUAGGCGGAAUUAUAAGUCAGUGGUGAAAUCCUACAGCUUAACUGUAGAACUGCCAUUGAAACUAUUAUUCUUGAGUAUAGUUGAGGUAGGCGGAACGUGUUAUGUAGCGGUGAAAUGCAUAGAUAUAACACAGAACACCAAUUGCGUAAGCAGCUUACUAAACUACUACUGA
Molecule: ribosomal RNA, 648 nt
Filed under: uncultured bacterium
Lineage: Bacteria
Description: bacterial SSU rRNA
Rfam family: Bacterial small subunit ribosomal RNA
Source: RNAcentral